AGGAACUCAAUAAAUAAUUAGUGAGACACUGUGACCAAAGAUUGAUGUUCUUCUUGGGAUGCCAUGGUCAGUAGUGCUAUGCUUUCCUGAGGAGAUAUAAAA
This 102-nucleotide small nucleolar RNA is filed under the name Castor canadensis (American beaver). Its description in RNAcentral is "Small nucleolar RNA SNORA25 (ENSCCNG00000023926.1)". The record is from RNAcentral. Lineage: Eukaryota; Metazoa; Chordata; Mammalia; Rodentia; Castoridae.